GCUGUGGUGGCCGAGUGGUUAAGGUAUUGGGCUAGAAGUCCAGUAGGCUUUUCCUGUGCAGGUUCAAAUCCUGCUCACAGCA
Transfer RNA from Pelodiscus sinensis (Chinese soft-shelled turtle), 82 nucleotides. It matches the Rfam family "tRNA". Rfam says of the family: Transfer RNA (tRNA) molecules are approximately 80 nucleotides in length. Their secondary structure includes four short double-helical elements and three loops (D, anti-codon, and T loops). NCBI's taxonomy places the organism in Eukaryota, Metazoa, Chordata, Testudines, Trionychidae. The record is from Rfam.